UCCAGACUCCUACGGGAGGCAGCAGUGGGGAAUAUUGCACAAUGGGGGAAACCCUGAUGCAGCGACGCCGCGUGAAGGAAGAAGUAUUUCGGUAUGUAAACUUCUAUCAGCAGGGAAGAAAAUGACGGUACCUGACUAAGAAGCCCCGGCUAACUACGUGCCAGCAGCCGCGGUAAUACGUAGGGGGCGAGCGUUAUCCGGAUUCACUGGGUGUAAAGGGAGCGUAGAUGGCCAAGCAAGCCAGGGGUGAAAGCCCGGGGCCCAACCCCGGGACUGCCCUUGGAACUGCAUGGCUGGAGUGCGGGAGGGGCAGGCGGAAUUCCUGGUGUAGCGGUGAAAUGCGUAGAUAUCAGGAGGAACACCGGCGGCGAAGGCGGCCUGCUGGACCGCGACUGACGUUGAGGCUCGAAAGCGUGGGGAGCGAACAGGAUUAGAUACCCGCGUAAA
RNAcentral lists this ribosomal RNA (447 nucleotides) under uncultured bacterium. Its description in RNAcentral is "bacterial SSU rRNA". It matches the Rfam family "Bacterial small subunit ribosomal RNA", at positions 330 to 794 of the family's 1533-position model. The record is from RNAcentral.